UGAUAACCGUCCAUGUUUCUGAGAGGAAUGGGGAGAGGCCAUCACACCAAAGGGCGGGCGUUUGUAAUCGCCUGAUGGUGGGCGGUUACAACCGUCCACGUUCCCCAGCAAUCGAAGGCUACAAGAAGCUCCGAUCGAUGAGGCUUUUCACCACCCUCCUUCCUCUGUUUCUUCUCCAUUCUCCUUUUCUCACAACUCUCCUCGGUGGACAGGAUCUGGCAUUAGGCUUGCGUCGCCGGAACAAAGGGCUGCGUUGCCGGAGUAGGAGGCGGACGUUCUUCUUCAAAGCAGGUGAUCAAAGAUUCAUUAUCCGGACGUAAGAAAUUGGAAAGCAAAUUGCUAUGAUUAAGACCAUUAGGAGCAGGGAGCUUGAUGUUAUUCAGGGUUGGGGUAAUUGAAAAUGUUAUGUAAUAAUCAGAUUUUAGAAGCUCUGUACUGUUCCAACUUCUUCACUAAUGUUAUGACAUUAGUAAAUAAAACUAUUUAUUUUUAUUAUGAAA
Non-coding RNA from Phoenix dactylifera (date palm), 500 nucleotides. Lineage: Eukaryota; Viridiplantae; Streptophyta; Magnoliopsida; Arecales; Arecaceae. The record is from RefSeq and is a predicted model, not a curated record.